Xyrichtys novacula (pearly razorfish) is the source of this 10291-nucleotide non-coding RNA. Lineage: Eukaryota; Metazoa; Chordata; Actinopteri; Labriformes; Labridae. The record is from the annotation of a GenBank genome assembly.
AAAAAAAAAUUUCAAUAAAUAAAUAAAAAAUACAAUAAAUAAAUAAAACAGUUGAAAAAAUUGGAAAAAUGACAUUUAUGACAUUUAAAAAUAUUUUAUUUUUGCAGAAAAAUAUUAAAUGUACAAAAUAUUUCAUAAAAUUUUAAAAUAUUCCAAGGAAUGUAAAUAAAAUAUUCCGAAAAGUAUAUAAAAUUUACAAAACAAAAUCCAUGUCAAUAAAUACAAAUGUGUUUCACAAUUGCAAUUUUUUUUCAAGGAACAACAAAAAAAAAAAAAUCAGACAUAAAAAUAUUUCAUGUAACCUGUAAAAUAAAUCCCUCAAAAACCUUUCACUAAAGUACAAUAAAACAUCAAACAAAAAAUUCACAAAAAGAAACAAAAAUUUUUGAAAACCAAUAACUUGCUUUAAAUCAUUCUUUUCGAGUUUUUUUUUUCACAAAUCACAAACUUUAAUAUUUUCUAAGUUUGUUUUUUUUUGUUUCAUUAAAAACAUUUUGCACUUUAUGAAUGUUUUAUGUUAACUAAUGUUUGGUAAAUGAGUCAGUCUCACCAUAAGUCAAAAAUUUUGUGUUACUUUAUAUGUUUUUUGCAGUUUAGUUCAGUAUUUUUUGUGUUUAAUGAAAUGUUUUUGCACUCGACCUUCAGGGCCUCUGUACCUGCCCAUAAUGCUUUCAACCUUACCUACCCUCAGGUCAGCAGUUCCCUGCCUCACCUCAUAUUUCCACCUCCAUAUCUGAUUUCUGAAUUUGGUAUUGGAAACUUUCAGACCUCUAAUAGGUUUUCUGCGCCCCCAGAAGGCUCGGCUGAUAACAUCAGUUAGGCUUUUCCUGAGCAGUCAGGGCCAGACAGAGCACAAAUGGAGGCAGGGUGGUGAGGGCUUUGGGAGAAAUCUUGUUUGUCCUGUCUGCUGGUUUGUGCUGCGGCUGACACUUUGCGAUGAGAGCAUCCGUAUGAAGGCCCCCUCCAGGGAGAGGAGGUCCACCCAGCAGAGGAGGAGGAGGAGGAGGAGGAGGAAGAGGAGGAGGACUUGAAUCUGCAGCAUCAGAGGGGAAUGAUGACAAAAGGAAAAACGGGGGAUGCAGACGAUAAACAGUACUUCAUUAAUGAGAGCUCUCAGUUGUGCUGUGAUGUUGCAGCGACAUAAAUCAACUUGAUUACAUGCUGGGCUCAGUCUAGACGUUAAUGCCUGAAUUUACAGUGCAUUUCAAUUUAGACUACCAUGCAUAAUUAGGUUAAUCACAUACAGUACUGCUGACUGUUAGCGGCUCAGAGAGUUUUUUUUUCAUGGACAUGCUGACAUCAGUUUCAGUAAAAUGCCUUCAGGAAUACUGUCUGCCUUCAUUUCACUCAGAGCAAACCUGACAGCAAAGAGAAGAUAACAUAGGAUGUAUAUUUUUCGAGGCAACAUUAUUGCAUUUAUGACAGCAUAUAUGCCACAACAGCAGGGGUGGAGCCAGAUUUGAUUGACAGAUAUGACCAGUUUAUGCACUUUAUUUCGUCAGGGUAGUAUGAAGUUGCCGUGCCCACUUGCAUAAAUACAGUUUAUUUACCAUUUCUGUCUUAAAUAAAAUAUUAUGUGUUGCAUUUAAUUUCUAAAUUGAAACUCCUUAUGUUAAUACAAAAUACUUAUUCUAAGUUCAUCAAUUUUUACGUUUAAGCAAUUUAACAUUAAUUGAUUUCUACCAAGUCUGUUCUGCGAAGUGCUUCUAAAUACUGCACACUGUACCUUUAAAGAGUUAAAAGGUGGCAGCAUUUCAAUAAUUUAAAUUAUUAAGGGGUUGUGAAGGUGUCUAGUAUCUGAAUAAAAGUGAAGUUGAUUUUUUUCAAACAUAAGUCCUCCUUCUUUAAAGGCAGAUAGCCAAUCAGAUUUCAGGGAUCUUAGGUGGCCAAUCCCUUAUUAUUUGGGGUGGGCAUGGUCACCCUUGUCCAUCUCCUGAAACCGCCCCUGCUUCAUAGGUUUAAUAAGGCAAUUUUCAAUCAAAGAUAAGUCUGCAUUGGCACUUAUUUAGGUUUAUAAUGAUUACAAUCAUUUUUAAUGAUCAAAUAUAUUUGAAUGGCAUUUUUUACUCAUAAAUUUAGCUUUUAGAAUUAAAGAAAAAGGGGAAAAAAUGUAAAAUAAGGCAAAAAUAUUCAGAGCAUUAAUGAUUGCAGUUAAAAUAAAGUGCAGAAGUAACAUACAAAUAGUUAUCCAGAUAGGAAUAAAUGUUUAACAUGAGGCAGAAAAUAAGAACCUAAUUUUAACUGAGGAGAUGAGGACUUAAUAAAUGAGGAACAUGAGUUCAAGUUUUAAUACUAGUUAAAAAAAUCUGCAAAAUCAAAUGAAAUAUUUUGAAUGCAGUCAGUAAACUCUGCCGUGUCAAAUUGUGUUACCAAAUAAUUUCUCAUUUCCUUUGAACAGGAAAUAAUUCAAUGUUGCUUUUGUUAUUAAAAGCAGAAGCGACAUUCCUCUAUUCAAGACACUAAAAAAAAAACCCAAGGUCUUCUCACAAACGCUCAACACGGGCCAUUGAGCACAAGUUACGCUCAUUAAAAUAACAAAUCAUGCCUCUUGUAGAGCUUAUUUCUCUGUCCUUAAACUGUACCCUCUGCCCGAUGUGUGCAUGCAUGACGUACUUUCCCCCCAUAAUGAAAAUCACUUGAAGAAAGAUUGAAACAGACAAUGUUUACCGCCUGCGGGGAUCAUUUAUAUGAUCUAAUGGUAUUGCAAUAUGAAGAUCUGAGCGUGUUUGAUAGUGAGGCUCUUAAUCAGCUGUACUUGCUGAAUCAUGGCAUGGUCAGAUGAUUGUACCGAGCACAUGGUGACUCAUAAACUGAGCAUGCAAACUUCGGCAUGGAAAUGCUCUCUCUCUAUCUCAUAUUUUAAGAUGCGACUGUUUUGUGAUGGUUUUAUUUCCCUUUUUUUGUAAAACAACUGUCAGAGUAAAGGCUGAAAGUACUUUGGAUAUACAGUAUAUUUUUACAGGAUAUGUUCUGUCAUAUUGUGUCCAUGCCAGAUUGACAAAUAUGGGGGGAAAGAAGGUUGACUUUGUAUUCAGUGUGUUAUGUCAUUUAAUUUCUACAGGAUCUAACAGUCCCAAUUAUGUGACUGCAAAAUCCUGCCUCCUAUGAGGACAUUCGCACCACAAAUCUGGGUUAUAAAGUGUGAAUGCGGCUGCUAAGAUGGUGAUAAAAUGUCUUGUGUGUCUCAAAACCUGUGUUGUUGGUUGCUGCUAAAUUGAGCAGAGGCAUUUUGACAAGCCUGCAGGACAAGUCUUCAUUCAGGAUUGAGUGGCAAGUCCCUCAGGCCUCGGAGAGCAGAGGGGUUAACCUGCUUAGAGCCUGCAAACUGUGAAUCAACAUAAUCACAUUGAUCCUGAGUCACUCUCCUCCCUGGAGGUAUGACUGAUGGGUAAGGCAAACUGUUCGUCCUUUAAGGGCCUGUCACAAGAGUUAAAGCCCAGAGGGGAGGCUUUAGGGCGCCUGGAAAUCACAGAAAACAUCCCAGUUACUGUUUUUAGAGGACAGACUGAGAGAGUCAAGCUGAGACAGCUAUUUUUCCUGUAUAAAAGCUCAUGAUUGGAGUAAUCUUUUCAUGUCCCAGAGCCUACACUUUUAUAAUUUUGAGAUAAUAAAUUAAUGAUAACAUUAUCUGGAUUAUGUCCAUGCUUUUUUGUGACAAAGGGUACAUUUACUCAGUUAUCAUGACAGGAUUUUCUUAACUCAAUGGAUGAUUUAUAGCAACAGAACCACUCAAGAAGUCACAGUAGUUGUUUUGUUUACCUUAAGUAAUAUAUUUGUCUUUAAUAGCCGAGAUUGAGUCAAACUACUUCUUUAACUCAAUUAGAAAUCUUAUGAAAAGCAUAAAAUCCAACAUUUUAAGUUACAGUCACUUAAUUUUAAUAUAAUGCGCAAUAUCAUCUAGAUUUCUGGUAAAUCAAAGUGUUAAAAAAAAACCGCUUUCUUAUUUCUUUAUGGCAGCAGCUGAUAAUCUGAGAUGAUUUGAGCUUUUAUCCGUCAAUAAAACGUCAAACUCUUGAUCUAAAAGACACAAUAAUUAAAUUUAUCCCUAAUCAAGGCUUUUCUCAGCUUCCUUAGAUUUGUGUCAUGAUAUAGGCUGUUAUAAAGUGAUGUUUAAGUGUCUAGUGGUUAAACUGUGGGCCCAGUCCCACAUACAGUAAGCAGCCAGUAUAGGCUUGAUUUCACCCUGCAGCCUUAUACUCCAUGUUAUCCCCCACUCUCUCUCUCUCUCUUUUACAGUUUCCCACUCUAUUCACUCCUCAGAAGGGCAGAAAAUGUAACAACACGCAGGGUUAAACAAAGAACAAGACCCAAAAAAAGAACAAAGGAUUGAAUUUAAAGAACUAAACGAAAAGAGCAACAAAAAGAGAAAAAUCUAAAAGGCAAAAUCUACAAAAAUCACAUGGAGCAACUGGGGACACAAGCAUACACGCACACAGACACACAUACAUGAACCAACCAGGACAGAGGGGAAGACAAAGACUAUAUACACGCUGGGAAACAGGCAACAGGUGAGGCAGAUGAGACACAGGUGAAACUCGUUAACUGAUUAACGAGGGAAAACUAGGGAAGUAAAACCAGACUAGAAACACAAGGAAUCAACUACUAUAAAAUAAAAACUGGGAACACUGAGAAUUGAUCUUAAGAGUGAAACACUAGGAAUACAAGGGAAAAAGGGUCAAACACAAACUGAAAACUCACAAGAUAGGAUCACAGGGACAAUAGGGAACAGAAACACUAGAAAAAUACACUCAAAUAACAAACCUAAACUAAAUUAAUGGAACAUAUCAUGACAAAAAAAAGCUCUAAAACAACUUUAAAGAAGAAAAACAAAAAGUAGCCAUGCUUGGAGCUUGAAAUUUGGCACUUUAGAAAGUGUUGUGUUGAUUUUUUGGAGACAGAAGUGUUCGUAUUUUGCUUUGCGCUCGCUGAUAGAUCAUCCCGGAAGCAACUAGUCAGCCACAGGUAGCCCCACCCUGAAUAAAAUCAGCUUUACUGUUGAUUUCCUUCUACACUAUCAUGUUUGAUAUGACUGUAUAUCUUCUUAUUUGCAUCUGGUGGAGUCUCCUUCUGCUGGUCACUUGCAGGAAUGCAGGUUUAUUGCAUAACUGGUAUAGCUCUCCUUAAAAAAAAAAAACAUUAUUUAGUGUCUGCUACAUUUUAAUUAAUUAAUUUAUUCUUUACAUAUUUGGGGCAUUUUUGCCGUUAUCAGUUGGAACAUUGGGAGCAGAAACCCUGCAGUAAAGAGUCAUGGUCGGUAAUCAAACUGGUGACCAUGUAAAACACUGUGUGCAUGUAGCUCAUGCUAACAGUUGAGUUUGCAAACAAAGCACAUUGUUAGCAUGGCAGUUAAAAGCAAAUCUGUACAUUAACUUCAACUUUUCAAACUCCAAACAUGAAUGUAGGAGCUUAUGUCAAAUUUUAAAUAGCUAAGAGAAGUAUUUUGAAAAACUGCAGCCAGUUAGGUAAAGUUGGUGUGUGUCAGAGAAAAUAGAGGUAAAAUGAGGUCUAAAACUUUAUCUGCACUUUUAAACAGAGUUUCUCUAAAAAUGAAGAAAACUUUCCUCAAUUCUGAACAAAAGUGAAACUUUGGAAGACUCCACAGUAGGUACUUACCAUGCACUGUAUAAUGCAUUAUGGUCUUUCAUCCUGUGGAGCAGUAAGAUAGAUGACGGGUACAGAGGCCCCUGAAGGUGGCUGUACCGCUCAGCAAUGCCUCUCGGUAUCUACACUACCUCAUACAGUCAUGUAGACUUACUUUAAAAACAGGGGCUACCUCAGGACAAAAUAAAGAAAGAAAAAAUUACCUGCUGUCAGAAAACCACACCGUAGGCAGUUUGUUGGUUUGUUUGAGUUUUCUUUUAUUCCUCCGGCUGUGAUGAAAGCACUAUUAAAAAUGAUCAAGACUCAUUUCUGCGAACCGUUCGGUAAUCAGUAUGAUGAGGCUCAGUUCAAACUGGGAUGUAAUGAGAUGUCUUUCUUUAAAGUAAAAUCAAACUGAUAUGAGACCAAACCCCCACUGUUUUCUCUGUGACUCAGAGGUUUUGCUUUCUUUCUUUUUACGGCUUUAACUUUAAUUCGGAGGAUCUGAAAGCUCAAGUCCCAGAGCAGCUGGGAGAGCAGGUUUGAAGUAACCUUGCUUAUUUAAUGAACUGUCCUUAAAUUAGGUAGGGGAGACCGGGGUUGGCCGUCUUGUGAGUUAGUCUCAGCACUUAUUGAUGCCAAACGAUCGGUCACCAUUUCAUUAAGUUCAUAUUUCAUAAUUCCUCUUAAUAAUAACAAUUGCUGUGGUUGUGUUCUCCUCCUCGGUUCGCUUUCUACAUUCGCUGUCACACAGCAGCAGAGCAGGGUGAGUGAAAUCACUAAUAACACACCUGACCCUAAAGGGAACUCUGCAAGUUUCUUUCUAGACCCAUUCAACUGACUGUGAGGGAGGUCACAUUCAAGGUAGAGGCAUACAUGGCAAAGUUUAAGACUUCAAUUUGAACUAUGAAACACUGACAGAAAAGUCUCUGUGAACAUAGAGAGGAGGGCAAACACCAUCGGUCUGGUAUGCCGAAAAAAUCCACUGAAUUAUAUCUGCAGACAUUUAGUUUAUCCUUCCUUUUUUAAAUCACAGUGUUAGACUAAAAAAUAACUUUCUUUUUGAGAGUUAAUAACUUGCUGAUAAAGUAAUCUAAAUUAGCUACAGGAAGCCCAUUUGAACGUAGGACUUCAAGCUUCAACUGAGCGACGAAAGGUAUUUUAAUGAACAAGUAAUUCACAAGAAAGUAAAAAAAGUGACAACCAACUCCAGUCGAGCUAACACGGCCGAGACAACAACUUUAAAAUCAGAUGAACAUCACUGGAGUUAAGCGAAUAUGUAUAAAACACGUUGCCGAUAUACGAAGCAAUACAUUUGCUUAAAGGGAUACGUCGGCGUAAAAUUAAGUUAGGGUCAAACACACCGUAACACCGAGUUAGACUGCCCCGUCGAGAAAUGAAUGUUUCCAACUGCUUGCUUUUCUAGUUAUACCAACUUUAGUAACGACCGCACGAUAGCAAUGCACAGCGGUCUGAGGAGCCGUAAACAAACCUCAACCAAAACGCCACUCUAGCCACAAACAAUGCUCAGAACAGCAGCUAACUUCAUCAACAGGACAUAUAGGGUCCAGCUAUAGUACUAUCAACCAAACAUCUUUUUAACUUUGCCUAAUUUCUUUAGCAAAGAGACUAAACACAACUCACCUACUCUCUUUCAGCAGCCGCUUGUUUGUAGCGAGACCUCCGGCCAGUCCAUUACGGACUGCUGCGGGGUGACGCAGCUCAAGGAAGAACAUUUACGAUCAUUUCUUCAUAGAAAUGGCAUCUGCAGUGCAAAAUGAUUAAUAUGGUGAUUAUUAAUUCAAGGAAGUGAUAAAGUAAUGAUCAUUACUUUGUGUAUUGCUACCGUGCGGUCGUCACUAAAGUUGGUAUAACUAGAGAAGCAAGUGGUCAGCAACAUUCAUCUCUCGAUGGGGUGUUUAACUCGGUGUUACGGUUAAUUUUACGCCAGAAUAUCCCUUCAAGAAUGGUGUUGAAAUAAAAUGUACAUUAUGUGCGGCCCUCAGGCUCUGUCCUGCAAAAUUGAAGUAAUUUCUUAAUUUAUUCAUUAAAAUCUGCUCAUUGUUCCCAAACAAACUUGCAAGAGAAGCCUAAAAAAAUUACGCAGCGAGGAAGGGGGGAAAACACGAGACAAGAUAGUCAUUUGAAUAAGGGGUUUGACAGGAAAUGUUGCACUGUGAGCAGCAAACCUCCUCUGAUCUGACAUGUUGAUCACACAACCCUCUCCGCUGCAGUUCCACGUCUCCCUGUUUUUUGGCUCAAGGCUUUUUUGGUUUAUUAGGGGAUAUGGGGGUGGCAUAUCACAUAAUGGCUUAACUCAAAGCACUCUUGUACAAUAGUUAUGACAAGGUAUGCAUGCCACAAACUCUAAUUGGACAUGCACUCCAAAUUUCAUGCAAAUCCAUCCUGAGCAAGCACCGAGUAGUUAUGCUAAUCCAAGAGCGGGUGUAUUUAACUGUCGGUUUGACUUGAUACAUGUCCUUUCCGCUCUGAAAUGAUUUAACGUGUCAAAACUACAGCUCUGAACAGCGGGAUACUUCUUCACUCACAGAAUUACUGAUAGUGGUUAUGUGCUUAAAAGCUCCUUAAUAGAUUUAGAGGAAUCUAACCACGCUGUGGUCUUCGUCUUUUUGUCACAGCACUCUUAAUACUCAGGGAUUAAUGAUGAUAAACACAGCGUUAUUAUCGUUUAUUUUCCUCAUUCAGGAAGGAUGCUUCAUAAAAGAGGAAUUUAUUUUAAAAAACCACAAAGCCAAUAUGUUUCACAGAUUGUAAUGAUCGUUUGUUUUGGGGGGGAGCAGGAGCCGGACUGGACUACUCGUGAAAAACAGAUAGUUGAGAUUGCUCAGAUGUUCCCUUCACAACCAAGUCUAAGAAUAAAUAAAGAUGUUAAUUCCUAAUCUUAUACAAUUUCUCAGUUUCAGCAUUAUAUGUGUUUUCUUACUGCUACUUAAAGGGAUCAAUGUUUUGUCAAAUCACUCAAUUGUCAUUUCAUUUUACACAACAUCAUAACUUUUUUUUGACAAUAAGUUAGUUUGCUUAUUUAAUUAAAAAGCAGGAUUAACUUUUUACCAAAAAAAGAGCAAAAUAAACAAAUAUAGAAAUUUCUGGUAACACUUUACAAUAACCAUAACUUAUAAAUGAUAAAUAGAUCAUUUAUAUAAUUUAUAUAAUUAUAUAAUUGGUGUAUAUACUGUUUUUAAAUUAUGAUUAAACAUAAAUAAACUAUCUACGUACCAUUUAUAAAUUAUGGUUAUUGUAAAGUAUUACCAAAUUUCUGAAUGGUAAUAUUAUACACAUUUUACACAACAGUUAAUUGUUUAUUAAGAAGUGGUGAUUGCUCACUAGAAAACUUAAAAUAGCCAAUGCCAUAUUUGUCCUAUAAAUAAGAUUAAAUCCACUAAAUGCAAAAAUAAGAGGUUUUAAUAAAUUCUAAUCCCAAUAGGAUCUUAUAUUGAUUAUUUGAAUUACUGUGUCACCAGUGUUGCUUUCAAUUUCUUGCACUGACAUCUUCAAGACUUGAUUAAACCAGACAAUACAAUAGCAUUAGUUAGAUUAAUAUUAGCUACAUGCCUUGUUAUUAAACAGUAAAGCUAAAAGAUUCAGAGCUCCCCCUGGCUGCUGUAUAGGUCAUAAACCCCGCCCCUCUUUGUGUUAACAGAUGGAACAUGGGUCAAACUAUAAAAUUAAAACACAUGUCACGUAAAAUUGUCCUGAACAUGGUAACUGUCAGUACAGUUAGUUGUUGUCAUGCUGAUUUAUGUCUGAGUGUUAAUUUUUCUGAAAGGUUCAGUUUGAUUUAUUAGAUUUUUAAAAAGAUGAUUGAUCCCUCUGUUGACAAAAGCAGCUCCUGCUCUGCUGUCCGUAGCCGUCAGUGUCUGCUUCAAACCAACACAAGCAUCUGUUCUCUGCCCACCGGGGGGGAUCUUUGGCUGUUUUUUGGAAAGUUUAAUGUGGUUUCGGUUUGCCUCAUGUGUGUUGCUAGCCAAAUCGCUCCUGCACAUGCAUUAAUUGAAAUUCUGGCACCUUUCUAGGCUUUUUAUUUUUUUUGCUUCAAAGCUCAUAAUGGUGAGAAAUAUGUUUCAGACAAGGAAACUGUAAAGUGAUAAGUAUUUUUUUAACAGUUCCAGAUAUUCAUGUGACGGUAACCUUUUUUAUUGUGAAGAAAAAUAAAAGUAUUACUCAGUGACUGUUAGUUAGGGAUGAUACGGGUGCAUGAUUUCUCUCUGUAUCUCUAAGAGGAAUCCUGGUUGGUUAAAACAGUCCAUCACUAACAUGACUUUGCUUUGUGUAUUAGAGCUACAUUGGUUGAGAGAACACAUCACUGUACAUUGGACCACAUCUAAGGAACAGGGAGAUUAAGACUCAGGGUGGGUGCACAUCUCGAGACACCUCUGGUUCCAGAUCCCCCUUGGUUCUUGGUUCUUGGUCUGGGGAAGGAGGGUUUUGAGUGCUGAGACAAACAGAAACAGGAAAACGAUGAGCUGCAGUUGAUUAAACUGGUAAAAGAGCUGCAGUCCUGUUCCCGAAUGUAUAUUAUAUUAACUUCAUAAAACAGGAACCUAUUAAAUUAUACGUUGUCGUUGUUUUCUUCUGGUUAUCCGGCUCCGGGUCGCAGGUGCAGCAGCUUUAGGAGGGAGGCCCAGACGGCCCUCACCCCAGCCACUUCCACCAGCUCCUCUGGGGGGAUUCCCAGGCGCUCCAAGGCCAA